CCCUGUGGUAGCUGAGCAAUCCGAAAUACUGAGAUCUCUGAGUACUUAAGGGAAACCCAUUCCCUGGAUCUUCGGGAAUCCCAACCACCUCUACCCACAGCUCCCAAUCCCAGUCGCUGACUGACCCCUAUCUCCUUUUGGAAUGUGUGAUGUCAAGUCAAAUGAAUGAAGUUAGGCAAUCAUACAACAGGUUGAUCAGCAACUUGAUUAUCACCUCGCAGGAUUUCCUACUUUUGGACCUCUUUAACGGGCAUUGGCUGGAUGAAGGGUUCUCUGUGAGCUGUCGUAUGAGGAAGCCCAAGCUAGCCACACAGAGAGGCCUCCCGGAAACAGCAGGCCUUGCGGACCCACCAGCUGACCAGAGCGCUCAAGUGAGCCCUGUCAACACCGCACACAGCAAAGCGGUGCAGUCCCAGCUGGGCCUAGCUGAAUGCAGACAUGCGAGUUAACCCAUGCAAGCCCAAUAGAAGAACUUGCCAGCCAACCCAUAGAAUCUUAAGAAAAAAUAAAUCAUUCUUGGUUUCAGCCA
Molecule: long non-coding RNA, 529 nt
Organism: Acinonyx jubatus (cheetah)
Lineage: Eukaryota; Metazoa; Chordata; Mammalia; Carnivora; Felidae
Exons: 3
Source: RefSeq, a predicted model, not a curated record